Schizosaccharomyces pombe (fission yeast) is the source of this 313-nucleotide non-coding RNA. Lineage: Eukaryota; Fungi; Ascomycota; Schizosaccharomycetes; Schizosaccharomycetales; Schizosaccharomycetaceae. The record is from the annotation of a GenBank genome assembly.
AGAGUAUCAUAUACUUCAUUGUUAAAAUUGGUAACAGCUAAAUGAUACGCAAGGACGGUAUUGCCCGCAUUUAGAAUACCACCAAGAUGGGUGCGUGUUAAGUGCGUUGACCCAUCGGAUGAUUUAAUCAAUUCCACAUCGGCGAGGGCAUACUUUCCAUUUGUUGGGCCUAAUAAAUCGACAUCGGCAACAAUGAACUCAGUAAGUUCGGGAAUAUCUGCAAGUGCAGGGAACGGGGUACGCCAAUAAAUUGAGGGAAGCAUAUCACAGGUUUGUAAAGUAAGCGGAUCAAGAAAGCGGAUCGUAGGUCCGA